RNAcentral lists this ribosomal RNA (253 nucleotides) under uncultured bacterium. Its description in RNAcentral is "partial 16S ribosomal RNA". It matches the Rfam family "Bacterial small subunit ribosomal RNA", at positions 524 to 776 of the family's 1533-position model. The record is from RNAcentral.
UCCGGGGGGAGCAAGCGUUGUUCGGAUUUACUGGGCGGAAAGGGCGCGUAGGCGGCGCAACAAGUCACUUGUGAAAUCUCCGGGCUUAACCCGGAGCGGCCAAGUGAUACUGUCGUGCUAGAGUGCGGAAGGGGCUACUGGAAUUCUCGGUGUAGCGGUGAAAUGCGUAGAUAUCGAGAGGAACACCUGCGGCGAAGGCGGGUAGCUGGGCCGACACUGACGCUGAUGCGCGAAAGCCAGGGGAGCGAACGGG